AGAGUUUGAUUCCUGGCUCAGAUUGAACGCUGGCGGCAGGCCUAACACAUGCAAGUCGAGCGGGGUUUUCGGACCUAGCGGCGGACGGGUGAGUAAUGCGUAGGAAGCUACCCGAUAGAGGGGGAUACCAGUUGGAAACGACUGUUAAUACCGCAUAAUGUCUACGGACCAAAGUGUGGGACCUUCGGGCCACAUGCUAUCGGAUGCGCCUACGUGGGAUUAGCUAGUUGGUGAGGUAAUGGCUCACCAAGGCGACGAUCUCUAGCUGGUUUGAGAGGAUGAUCAGCCACACUGGAACUGAGACACGGUCCAGACUCCUACGGGAGGCAGCAGUGGGGAAUAUUGGACAAUGGGCGCAAGCCUGAUCCAGCCAUGCCGCGUGUGUGAAGAAGGCCUUCGGGUUGUAAAGCACUUUCAGCGAGGAGGAAGGGGUUGUAGUUAAUAGCUGCAACCUUUGACGUACUCGCAGAAGAAGCA
RNAcentral lists this ribosomal RNA (477 nucleotides) under Rheinheimera sp. B1-129. Its description in RNAcentral is "bacterial SSU rRNA". It matches the Rfam family "Bacterial small subunit ribosomal RNA", at positions 8 to 492 of the family's 1533-position model. The record is from RNAcentral. Lineage: Bacteria; Pseudomonadati; Pseudomonadota; Gammaproteobacteria; Chromatiales; Chromatiaceae.